AUUUAUUAUAAAUAUCAACACACAGUCACACACAGACUCACUCGUUUAGGCCAAUGAAAAUUGAUAUCAUGUUUCUCGUCCCCGCCCGCAUGGGAUUUAUCUGCCGCACGAAAAUUUUUCAUUAUUCAUUAUUUUUGAAAAAUACGCUUAACAAAACACCAAAUUGAUCUCCAGAUCAAAGUCUUAUUGCUGCAUUCCGCAGACGCAACUCAAAUUCGGUAUCUAUCUAAAGAUAUUACUCGCCAGAAUGCCUCUAUUUUUCAUGUCAGCCCUGGUAUUUAUAAAUUAAAAUGAAUUAUACACCGAUUUACUUCAGAUUUUUAUCAUAUGGGGUUUUUACUGGGUCAAGGAAAUUAUUGAUAAGCAGAAUUCAAACACAAAAAAUAAUGAAAAAUGAAAAAUGAAAAAAUCCCGCUCCGAAUUUUUGAAAAUUGUGGACGAGAAACAUGAUAUCAAUUUUCAUUGGCCUAAUAAAUCCACAUCUAUAAACACAGUACACAAAUCCCAUACAUUCCCUUGUGAAAUUACUGAAAUAGCUGACAAACCUUUUAAUUUCGAC
Molecule: non-coding RNA, 559 nt
Organism: Paramuricea clavata
Lineage: Eukaryota; Metazoa; Cnidaria; Anthozoa; Malacalcyonacea; Plexauridae
Source: the annotation of a GenBank genome assembly